CCCCAGACUCCUACGGGAGGCAGCAGUGAGGAAUAUUGGUCAAUGGCCGGAAGGCUGAACCAGCCAUGCCGCGUGAAGGUCAGUGCCCUAAGGGCGUUAAACUUCUUUUGUGCGGGAGCAAUAAUGGUCACGUGUGGCCAGACGAGAGUACCGUACGAAUAAGCAUCGGCUAACUCCGUGCCAGCAGCCGCGGUAAUACGGGGGAUGCAAGCGUUAUCCGGAUUUAUUGGGUUUAAAGGGUGCGUAGGCGGUCCGGAAAGUCUGGGGGAAAAGCCCGGGGCACAACCCCGGCGAGCCGUUGAAACUGUCGGACUAGAGACGGCGAGAAGUACGCGGAAUGCGCGGUGUAGCGGUGAAAUGCAUAGAUAUCGCGCAGAACUCCGAUUGCGAAGGCAGCGUACCGGCGCCGGACUGACGCUGAGGCACGAAAGCGUGGGUAUCGAACAGGAUUAGAUACCCGGGUAC
Molecule: ribosomal RNA, 465 nt
Filed under: uncultured bacterium
Lineage: Bacteria
Description: bacterial SSU rRNA
Rfam family: Bacterial small subunit ribosomal RNA
Source: RNAcentral